AAGAUCGAGGUCAUCAGAAAGUCGAUCUAAACUGGAGACUGAGCUCAUCAUAAAUCCGAUCUCAUCAGAAGAUCGAGGUCAUCAGAAAACCGAUCUGAACUAGGGGCUAAGCUCAUCAUAAAUCCGAUCUCACCAGAAGGCCAAGAUCAUCAGAAAGCCGACCUGAACUGGAGGCUCAUCAUAAAUCCGACCUCACUAGAAGGUCGAGGUCAUCAGAAAGCCGACCUGAAUUGGAAGCUAAGCUCAUUAUAAAUCUGACCUCACCAGAAAACCAAGGUCAUCAGAAAGCCAACCUGAACUGGAGG
RNAcentral lists this long non-coding RNA (305 nucleotides) under Elaeis guineensis (African oil palm). Its description in RNAcentral is "long non-coding RNA (EGUI_LNC010803)". Lineage: Eukaryota; Viridiplantae; Streptophyta; Magnoliopsida; Arecales; Arecaceae. The record is from RNAcentral.